Molecule: ribosomal RNA, 460 nt
Filed under: uncultured bacterium
Lineage: Bacteria
Description: partial 16S ribosomal RNA
Rfam family: Bacterial small subunit ribosomal RNA
Source: RNAcentral
CCUACGGGAGGCAGCAGUGAGGAAUAUUGGUCAAUGGCCGCAAGGCUGAACCAGCCAAGCCGCGUGAAGGACGACGGUGCCAAGCAUUGUAAACUUCUUUUGUCCAGGGACAAAAUCAGGCUCGCGAACCUGACCGAGAGUCCUUGAAGAAAAAGGAUCGGCUAACUCCGUGCCAGCAGCCGCGGUAAUACGGAGGAUCCGAGCGUUAUCCGGAUUUAUUGGGUUUAAAGGGAGCGUAGAUGGGUUGUUAAGUCAGUUGUGAAAGUGUGCGGCUCAAACGUCAAAUUGCAAUUGAUACUGGCAGGCUUGAGUAGAGUUGAGGUAGGCGGAAUGCGUGGUGUAGCGGUGAAAUGCUUAGAUAUCACGAAGAACUCCGAUUGCGAAGGCAGCUUACUAAACUGCCACUGACAUUGAUGCUCGAAAGUGUGGGGAUCAAACAGGAUUAGAUACCCUUGUAGUC